UAGCCCCGGGGGCACCGGACACGUGCAGGCCGGCUGGGGAAGCGGGAGGGCCGGCCCGGGGCGCCGCGCUCCGCGGGCAGCCGGCACUUGCACA
RNAcentral lists this small RNA (94 nucleotides) under Ailuropoda melanoleuca (giant panda). RNAcentral's name for it is "GRIK4 3 prime UTR element". It matches the Rfam family "GRIK4 3 prime UTR element". The record is from Rfam by way of RNAcentral. Lineage: Eukaryota; Metazoa; Chordata; Mammalia; Carnivora; Ursidae.